Sarcophilus harrisii (Tasmanian devil) is the source of this 2892-nucleotide long non-coding RNA. The record is from Ensembl. Lineage: Eukaryota; Metazoa; Chordata; Mammalia; Dasyuromorphia; Dasyuridae.
CUGUGGGUCAGUGCUGUACUAGAUGAGUUCAUGUCUCCUGGUCCAGUGAACUAUGGAAUGCUGUCCUUCUUCAUCGCUCUCCCCUGGCUGUUUUCCUGGUUUUCUUCAAGUCUCAACUAAAAUCGGUGUCACUAGAUCAGUGUACAUGGGAGCAAGAAAGAUUUGAGUCCUCAAUAGGAGGGUGUCCAAGGGCUGAGUAACUGUUCACAAAGGAAAUAUGUUUACUCCUGGAUGACCUGUUCUUGUGGAAGCCUUGAUUUGGACCAAUCCGGGGGCAGGAUCAAGGAGCCUACUAAGAGAAGGGUGAACUCUUGGAAAUAUUCUCAUGUCAGUACUAGCCUCAUUUCCUCUUCUCCCUCAGACUCUACCCAGUCGGUUUAUUUUGUGAUCAAUCUCUUUCGCAUCAGCCUGGUUGGAUUGGUCCUCCUUGUCAUCGGGAAACUUUUGGCCAGUGAGUGGAACAGCCUGAGGAGUCGAGGGUAAGCCAGAAAAUGUCUGCCUGGAGCAGUAAGGCUGGACAGACAGACAUCAAAGGAUUACAAGAACUUCAAACUAACCAGCAAGUGUUGAGGGAAAGAGAUCAGCCAACUGUGGGCAACAUAAGAAGACUUGGACCCAAAUCCAGCUAAUGUCCAGAGCUGACCAUCAGAAACCUUCUGUCCCUUCUCUUGGCCCAGUACCAGGCUUCCUGCUCUCCAGCCCUACUUCUCUUCAUGCUGUAUCACCAGGUCCUCUCCUCCCCAGAUUCCCUUUAUACACGUCAUAAAUAUAUAAAUAAUAAAUAAAGAGAAAAGACAAAAUGUAUUUCCCAAAUAGCAAAGCUUCCGAGAGUUAUGAAAUUCUGAAGAGUAGCAAAAAUUCUCAGCUCUGACCCACCCUGUAUGUUACAAAGCACUUUUUAAAACCAUUGCUAGGUGAUUUAAUGAGCUGAAUUCUGUGAUCCACAAAGACCUGAGUUCAAAACCUAUUCCAGUCAUUUACUAGCUGUGGGACCCUGGGUAAUUCAUUUAACCCUUUCUCAUACCCUUAGUCCCUCUAACUGUAAAAUGCAAAUAAUAACGGCACCAUCUUUAUAAGGAUGUUAGAAGUAGCAGAUAAGAUAUAUUCAUAUAUUUGACAGUACUUUGCAAAUCAGAUAGAUCUAGAUGUAGAUAUAUGCACUUGUACAUAUACAAAAGCAUAUAUCUAUAAACAAGUGUUAUAUAAGUUAUUUUUGUAUGUGUAUUUCUACACACACACACUUUAUAUAUGCUGACUAUUAACAUUGUGAGAUGAUCAGCUAUGAUAGACUGAGCUCUUCUCAACAGUGCAAGGAUCCAAGACAAUCCCAAAAGAUUCAUGGUGGAAAAUGCUAACUUCAUCCAGAGAAAGAACUAUGAAAUCUGAAUGCAGAUCAGAGCAGACUAUUUUCACUUGUUUUUUGGUGGAGGGAGGAACUUUUGAGUUUUCACAUUUUGUUCUGUUUCUUCUUUCACAACAAGACUCAAGUGCAAAUAUGUCUAAUAUGAUUGAACAUGCAUUGUCAAAUGCAAAUUGCUUGUCAUCCUGGGGGUGGAGAGGAGGAAAGGAAGGGAGGAAUAAAAUUUUGUAACUCAAAAUCUUAUAAAAUAUAUGUUGGAAACUAUCUUUACAUGUAAUUAGAAAAAAAUAAAAUACUAAUUACAAAAAUCAACUUUUGAACAUUAGUAAAUAAUUGCUGGCCAUUAGUACCAUUAUUGUUGUUAUCUUAUCUGGAAAAGCAGUGAAUAUAAAUAUCACCAUUUGACAGAUGAAAAAUCUGAAGCUUAUGGAGAGGUCAUGAACCAUCCCUGAUCACUCAGUGAGCAGGGGCUCCACAUCUUCAAAGUUCAAGUUUAGGCUUAUUUUCCCUACUCCAUAAAAGUCUCUUUGAUCCCAGAUCCCCUCCUUUCUACUCCAUAAAUGUUUGCUACAACCUCAUGCCUAAAAUUUGCUCCACUCCCGAUAUGAGUUUAUGCCUCCUUUUACCUAUUAUAAUGUUCUGAAUAAAAUUAUUUUAGCCCCCUUUUCCUUGCCAUUAGGACUAGGAGAAAUUGAGUCAGAAAAGAAACCAUUGAGAUAAACUCCAGGUGUCUUAUGUCAAUCCUUGCUGGAAUAAUUCCCCCUCUGUUGGAAUCCUUACAAAGUGUUAACUCAUUCGAGUUGAUAGAGACAAUAAUUAUCUAAUUUAGUAUAGUUCAGUAUGAUUCAUCUGAUCUUACAAGGAGAUGUUAUGGGCCAGAACUUGAAACAAGGUACUAAGUGGAACUGAUAGAAACAAUGCUUGUGUUCACACCUUUAGAGAGCUCAUAUAAGCAAGAAGCGAUUAGGGCCAAAGAGCACUCUGGGACAGACACAGGAGCAUUCUGGGACAGACACAGAGCACUCUGGAGGAAGCCCAAAGCCUACUCUCAGAGAUGGAGUCAGAUUCAUUCCAACUUUCACCUUGGUGAUGGCUGAAGAUAUUUGGAAGAAGAGGAGCCAAAGCUGACAGAGGCAAAAGAUUAGCGGCAAGAGCUCUUGGGACCAAGCAGACAGAUAGGCUUCUAAGAAAGUUAACCAGGGCCAAGGAAAGAGACAAGAAAUAAACGUUUGGAUUUUUAUCAGCUGAGUGCAUUUGUGGUGAUUAACACUUGGAACUGAAAUUAAGGUUGCCUCCAGAAAACUUCCCCAAGAAACCUGCUCCCACAGAGAAUCAUUAUAUUUUAAGGAAGAACACCACACCCCUCCAUUUGAGUAUUGCCCCUUGCUUUGCUGUCUCCCGCCCUCGACCUUCUUAUCAUGACCUUUAUCCUGUUAAGACUAAGUUAUGAUCAUUUCCUAGAAUUAUAGUUUGUCCAUUCACCCAGUGUACUCACCCCCCCAUCUGCCUUUGUUUCCCCUAUAAGAUUGUAG